GUCCUAGCCGUAAACGAUGGACACUAGGUGUUGGUGGUAUCAACCCCGCCAGUGCCGAAGCUAACGCAUUAAGUGUCCCGCCUGGGGAGUACGGCCGCAAGGCUAAAACUCAAAGGAAUUGACGGGGGCCCGCACAAGCAGCGGAGCGUGGGGUUUAAUUCGAUGCAACGCGAAGAACCUUACCAGGGCUUGACAUGACCAGGAUCGCGGCGGAAACGUCGCUUCCCCGCAAGGGGCCUGGCCACAGGUGUUGCAUGGCUGUCGU
This 265-nucleotide ribosomal RNA is filed under the name uncultured bacterium. RNAcentral's name for it is "partial 16S ribosomal RNA". It matches the Rfam family "Bacterial small subunit ribosomal RNA", at positions 793 to 1055 of the family's 1533-position model. The record is from RNAcentral.